This 108-nucleotide small nuclear RNA is filed under the name Otolemur garnettii (small-eared galago). RNAcentral's name for it is "U2 spliceosomal RNA". It matches the Rfam family "U2 spliceosomal RNA". From Rfam's summary of the family: U2 is a small nuclear RNA (snRNA) component of the spliceosome (involved in pre-mRNA splicing). Complementary binding between U2 snRNA (in an area lying towards the 5' end but 3' to hairpin I) and the branchpoint sequence (BPS) of the intron results the bulging out of an unpaired adenosine, on the BPS, which initiates a nucleophilic attack at the intronic 5' splice site, thus starting the first of two transesterification reactions that mediate splicing. Lineage: Eukaryota; Metazoa; Chordata; Mammalia; Primates; Galagidae. The record is from Rfam by way of RNAcentral.
AUCACUUCUCGACCUUUUGGCUGAGAUCAAGUAUAGCAUCUGUUCUAAUCAGUUCAAUAGAGAAUUUUUUUUAUAUAUAUUUAACAGAGUUUUUCAUUUGGAACAAUC